This 29-nucleotide non-coding RNA is filed under the name Rattus norvegicus (Norway rat). Lineage: Eukaryota; Metazoa; Chordata; Mammalia; Rodentia; Muridae. The record is from RNAcentral.
CUGAAUCUUGCUGUUUGUGUCUUUGAGUC